CACACUUCUGCAAACCUCAGGUAUGCAGUUAUUUAUAUAUAUUUUAGAUAUUUCUUUUUGUAAAUGGUUUAGUAUUUAACUAUAUUCAUACUCAUCCUGUCCCUUAUUUAUAGACAGGUUUUGUAUAUUAUUACAUGUCACUUUGGGACUAUAAGGGCUUGAGAUCUUGCUAUAUGCGAUUCUGCACCGCCGGCUUCCUUCCUCCUAUUUUCCAUCCAGAGGAAUCUUCUGCGUCCUAACAGUGGUGUCCUUUUUCUGGGAUGCGCAGGGUUGAUUAAACGCUGUGAGUGAAAAGUGGUUCCUAUAUAUGUUGACUACACACAUUUCGGCCCCUGAUGAAGGGUAAUCCGAAACGCGUAGGGCCGUGUACGUCUUCAUGGAUGUUACUUUUCAAUGACACCCAUCCAUGUACUGUUUUUAAACAAUUUAUAUGUAUAAUUUUCAUUUUGUAUAAUUUCUACUUUGUAUAUUAAAAUACUUCAUUUUUUGACUA
This is a long non-coding RNA of Rana temporaria (common frog), 493 nucleotides long. RefSeq lists it as uncharacterized. Lineage: Eukaryota; Metazoa; Chordata; Amphibia; Anura; Ranidae. The transcript has 2 exons. The record is from RefSeq and is a predicted model, not a curated record.